Molecule: ribosomal RNA, 253 nt
Filed under: uncultured bacterium
Lineage: Bacteria
Description: partial 16S ribosomal RNA
Rfam family: Bacterial small subunit ribosomal RNA
Source: RNAcentral
UACGUAGGGGGCAAGCGUUGUCCGGAAUCAUUGGGCGUAAAGAGCGUGUAGGCGGCCUUAUAAGUCGGCUGUGAAAGUCAAGGGCUCAACCCUUGAAUGCCGGCCGAUACUGUGAGGCUAGAGUCCGGAAGAGGCGAGUGGAAUUCCUGGUGUAGCGGUGAAAUGCGCAGAUAUCAGGAAGAACACCCGUGGCGAAGGCGGCUCUCUGGUACGUGACUGACGCUGAGACGCGAAAGCGUGGGGAGCGAACAGG